This 427-nucleotide ribosomal RNA is filed under the name uncultured bacterium. RNAcentral's name for it is "partial 16S ribosomal RNA". It matches the Rfam family "Bacterial small subunit ribosomal RNA", at positions 355 to 774 of the family's 1533-position model. The record is from RNAcentral.
UGGGGAAUAUUGGACAAUGGGCGAAAGCCUGAUCCAGCCAUGCCGCGUGUGUGAAGAAGGUCUUCGGAUUGUAAAGCACUUUAAGUUGGGAGGAAGGGCAUUAACCUAAUACGUUAGUGUUUUAACGUUACCGACAGAAUAAGCACCGGCUAACUCUGUGCCAGCAGCCGCGGUAAUACAGAGGGUGCAAGCGUUAAUCGGAAUUACUGGGCGUAAAGCGCGCGUAGGUGGUUUGUUAAGUUGGAUGUGAAAGCCCCGGGCUCAACCUGGGAACUGCAUCCAAAACUGGCAAGCUAGAGUACGGUAGAGGGUGGUGGAAUUUCCUGUGUAGCGGUGAAAUGCGUAGAUAUAGGAAGGAACACCAGUGGCGAAGGCGACCACCUGGACUGAUACUGACACUGAGGUGCGAAAGCGUGGGGAGCAAACA